UAUACGACCGUACCGCAAACCGACACUGGUGCGCGAGAUGAGUAUUCUAAGGCGCUUGAGAGAACUCAGGAGAAGGAACUCGGCAAAUUGACACCGUAACUUCGGAAGAAGGUGUGCCCUAUUAGUGUGUAGUGAACAACGAAGCAUGAAUGGGUUGCAAAAAAUCGGUGGCUGCGACUGUUUAUUAAAAACACAGCACUCUGCAAACACGAAGGUGGACGUAUAGGGUGUGACGCCUGCCCGGUGCUGGAAGAUUAAAUGAUGGGGUGCAAGCUCUUGAUUGAAGUCCCAGUAAACGGCGGCCGUAACAAUAACGGUCCUAAGGUAGCGAAAUUCCUUGUCGGGUAAGUUCCGACCUGCACGAAUGGCGUAACGAUGGCCACACUGUCUCCUCCUGAGACUCAGCGAAGUUGAAAUGUUUGUGAUGAUGCAAUCUCCCCGCGGAAAGACGGAAAGACCCCAUGAACCUUUACUGUAGCUUUGUAUUGGACUUUGAACAGAUCUGUGUAGGAUAGGUGGGAGGCUUUGAAGCAGGGUCGCUAGAUCUUGUGGAGCCAACGUUGAAAUACCACCCUGGUGUGUUUGAGGUUCUAACCUAGGUCCAUUAUCUGGAUCGGGGACAGUGCAUGGUAGGCAGUUUGACUGGGGCGGUCUCCUCCCAAAGCGUAACGGAGGAGUUCGAAGGUACGCUAGUUACGGUCGGACAUCGUGACGAUAGUGCAAUGGCAUAAGCGUGCUUAACUGCGAGACUGACAAGUCGAGCAGAUGCGAAAGCAGGACAUAGUGAUCCGGUGGUUCUGUAUGGAAGGGCCAUCGCUCAACGGAUAAAAGGUACUCUGGGGAUAACAGGCUGAUACCGCCCAAGAGUUCAUAUCGACGGCGGUGUUUGGCACCUCGAUGUCGGCUCAUCUCAUCCUGGGGCUGUAGCCGGUCCCAAGGGUAUGGCUGUUCGCCAUUUAAAGAGGUACGUGAGCUGGGUUAAAAACGUCGUGAGACAGUUUGGUCCCUAUCUUCCGUGGGCGCUGCAGAUUUGAGGAAGCCUGCUCCUGGUACGAGAGGACCGGAGUGGACACACCUCUGGUGUAUCGGCUGUCACGCCAGUGGCAUUGCCGAGUAGCUAAGUGUGGAAGAGAUAACCGCUGAAAGCAUCUAAGCGGGAAACUCGUUUCAAGAUGAGAUCUGCCGGGGCCUUGAGCCCCCUAAAGAGUCGUUCAAGACCAGGACGUUGAUAGGUCAGGUGUGGAAGCG
Molecule: ribosomal RNA, 1248 nt
Filed under: metagenome
Description: bacterial LSU rRNA
Rfam family: Bacterial large subunit ribosomal RNA
Source: RNAcentral